GCCCCCGUAGCUCAGGGGAUAGAGCGUCGGUUUCCUAAACCGUGCGUCGCAGGUUCGAGUCCUGCCGGGGGCG
This 73-nucleotide transfer RNA is filed under the name Acidimicrobiaceae bacterium. RNAcentral's name for it is "tRNA-Arg". It matches the Rfam family "tRNA". From Rfam's summary of the family: Transfer RNA (tRNA) molecules are approximately 80 nucleotides in length. Their secondary structure includes four short double-helical elements and three loops (D, anti-codon, and T loops). The record is from RNAcentral. RNAcentral also lists the same sequence under 2 other names. Lineage: Bacteria; Bacillati; Actinomycetota; Acidimicrobiia; Acidimicrobiales; Acidimicrobiaceae.